RNAcentral lists this ribosomal RNA (339 nucleotides) under uncultured Microgenomates group bacterium. RNAcentral describes it as "bacterial SSU rRNA". It matches the Rfam family "Bacterial small subunit ribosomal RNA", at positions 1034 to 1376 of the family's 1533-position model. The record is from RNAcentral.
ACAGCUGUUGCAUGGCUGUCGUCAGCUCGUGACGUGAGUUGUUCUCUUAAGUGAGUAACGAGCGCAACCCCCGUUCUGUGUUAUUGUGUCACAGAAGACUGCCUAGCAUUAUUUGUUAGGAGGAAGGAGGGGACGACGUCAAGUCAUCAUGAUGCUUAUAUCCAGGGCUACACACAUCCUACAAUGGGCUAUAACAGAGGGUUGCAAGACCGCAAGGUGGAGCUAAUCCCUAAACUAGCCCUCAGUUGGGAUUGCAGGCUGAAACUCGCCCUGCAUGAACCCGGAAUUGGUAGUAAUCGCACAUCAGCAGCGUGCGGUGAAUACGUUCUCGCCCGUCUU